RNAcentral lists this small RNA (189 nucleotides) under Vibrio furnissii. RNAcentral's name for it is "MicX Vibrio cholerae sRNA". It matches the Rfam family "MicX Vibrio cholerae sRNA". The record is from Rfam by way of RNAcentral. Lineage: Bacteria; Pseudomonadati; Pseudomonadota; Gammaproteobacteria; Vibrionales; Vibrionaceae.
AUAACAACGAUAAUGGCGACCGCAAGGUCGCCCAUUUUGUCCACCCUUAACACUUUUGGUUUGGCCGCCGAUCAGUUAAGAAGGAGACAAUUCUGGCGUUACGCAUAGCUGGCUGUUAGCUCUAUUCCUUACGUAUCAUGACUAACAGUUUUUGUAACCAAAACCUGAGCUGAGCUCAGGUUUUUUUAU